Molecule: ribosomal RNA, 115 nt
Filed under: Pteropus alecto (black flying fox)
Lineage: Eukaryota; Metazoa; Chordata; Mammalia; Chiroptera; Pteropodidae
Source: RNAcentral
GUCUAUGGCCAUGCCACCCUGAACAAACCAAUGUCUGAUCUCAGAAGCUAAGCAGGGUCAGGCCUGGUUAGUACUUGGAUGGGAAACCACUUAGGAAGAUCAGGUGCUGUAGGCA